GACGAACGCUGGCGGCGUGCUUAACACAUGCAAGUCGAACGGAAAGGCCCUGCUUUUGUGGGGUGCUCGAUUGGCGAACGGGGGAGUAAAACGUGUGUAACCUGCCCUUGACUUUGGGAUAACUUCAGGAAACUGGGGCUAAUACCGGAUAGGAGCUCCUGCAGCAUGGUGGGGGUUGGAAAGUUUCGGCGGUUGGGGAUGGACUCGCGGCUUAUCAGCUUGUUGGUGGGGUAGUGGCUUACCAAGGCUGUGACGGGUAGCCGGCCUGAGAGGGUGACCGGCCACAAUGGGACUGAGAUACGGCGCAGACGCGUACGGGAGGCAGCAGGGGGGAAUAUUGCACAAUGGGCGGAAGCCUGAGGCAGCGACGCCGCGUGCGGGAUGACGGCCUUCGAGUUGUAAACCGCUUUCGCCUGUGACGAAGCGUGAGUGACGGUAAUGGGUAAAGAAGCACCGGCUAACUACGUG
RNAcentral lists this ribosomal RNA (468 nucleotides) under uncultured bacterium. RNAcentral's name for it is "partial 16S ribosomal RNA". It matches the Rfam family "Bacterial small subunit ribosomal RNA", at positions 28 to 507 of the family's 1533-position model. The record is from RNAcentral.